GAUGAACGCUGGCGGCGUGCUUAACACAUGCAAGUCGAACGAAGCACCAUGGACAGAAUUUUUCGGAAGGACGACUAUGGCGACUUAGUGGCGGACGGGUGAGUAACGCGUGGGUAACCUGCCCUGUACUGGGGGACAACAGUUGGAAACGACUGCUAAUACCGCAUAAGCGCACAGCAUCGCAUGAUGCAGUGUGAAAAACUCCGGUGGUACAGGAUGGACCCGCGUCUGAUUAGCUAGUUGGUGAGGUAACGGCUUACCAAGGCAACGAUCAGUAGCCGACUUGAGAGAGUGAUCGGCCACAUUGGGACUGAGACAGGCCCAAACUCCUACGGGGAGGCAGCAGUGGGGAAUAGUUGCACAAUGGAGGAACUCUGAUGCAGCGACGCCGCGUGAGUGAAGAAGUAG
This 408-nucleotide ribosomal RNA is filed under the name uncultured bacterium. Its description in RNAcentral is "bacterial SSU rRNA". It matches the Rfam family "Bacterial small subunit ribosomal RNA", at positions 28 to 416 of the family's 1533-position model. The record is from RNAcentral.